Lotus japonicus is the source of this 1746-nucleotide long non-coding RNA. RefSeq lists it as uncharacterized. The transcript has 6 exons. NCBI's taxonomy places the organism in Eukaryota, Viridiplantae, Streptophyta, Magnoliopsida, Fabales, Fabaceae. The record is from RefSeq and is a predicted model, not a curated record.
UUCAGAAACUAUUCUCUCUUGAAGUUCUCUAGUUCUCUGAUUCGUGGAUUUCCUCUUUGAAGCUCUUCGUUCAUACUCUUCCAUCCCAAGCUCUACAUAUAAAUUCAAUGCUUCAAAAGCUUUAAUGUUGCAGUAAUGCAAAGGUUGGGUUUUCAAUUGAAGCCUAAUGUCAGGUUUUUCUUCUCUUUUUCAGCAUUCAUGUUUCUUUGGCAACACUAGUCACUCUUAUCUCAUUCCUGAAAACACAAAACCAGAAAACCUUACCUUGUAUUUAUUACAUUGAAAAUUAACCUGGCUUUAUGAGUUAAAUGUUGUAUCUUGUGCUUGAAGGGUUCUUAAUGGAAAGAGAAAGCAGAGUCUGGAAGUGGAACUUCAACAGUGCUAAAAAGGAAGCAUUUUAAAUAUAACAAAAUUAGUGAACAAAUAGUAAUGUAGCCUUAAAUUGGGUCUAGUGAGGACAUCUUUGUAGACAUAUAAAAGUGAUUGGAAAUCUGCAUAAAAUGCAAACUACCUACUAACUAGAGGACUAUAACAAAGAAAUGAGCUCAAUUAGGUGGCCCUCAUUUCUCUAACUGAAACAAAAACAUGUGACUAAGUAAAGAUGUUGUUUGCAUUUGUCCUUAGGCUUCGUGAUACUUCUAGUGUUUUCCUUUUAUGUACUUAUCUUGUAGAGUGCGCUUUUCCAGCUCUAAAGGUGAUCUGACUAUUGAAUUCUGCACUAAUAUCAACAAUGGUACAGUUGAAGAGUAGAGCAUUUACUAUAUCAAAUUUUUAUUAGAUGCUUUCUGGUGUUUCCAUUAGAUGCUUUCCUGCCUUUCAAGUUUUUAUCAGCAGCUACAGGAUGACAUUAGUUUACUAAAACACUUGACUCAAAAUCAGCUACUGCAUCAUGUUGUCCUUCUUCAUCCUCCUCACUUGACUUAAAUUAGAUACUAUAGUAUAUCAGGUUUUUGGUUGCUUCAUCUGUAUACCUUUCAUUCCCAUUCAGGUACCUUUUGAAGUUCAUGCCAGAGUGAGCUCAAGUGUCAUGAUUCAAGGAUAUCUGAGAAAAGAGUCCAUCCAGAAGAUGUGCAUCAUCUUGAUGUCAAAACUGGCAUGCAAAUUAGAUAGGAGGCACUUCAGCUACAAUUAUAGUAUAGUCAAAGGUGUCUUCAUGAGCAGCUAAAGGGACAUUCUUGUUGUUGACUUCAGAGAAUUAGAGAAGGUUUUUGGUCUUCAUGAGCAGCUAAAGGUCUCCUACGAUGUGGAAACAGUUGUCGACUUCGGUGGAUUAACUAUCUUCGGCCUGGCAUCAAGCGUGGCCCAUUUACUGAUGAAGAAAGUACUACUAUUCAACUUCAUGGCUUGCUUGGCAACAGAAGCAAUAUGCCGAGAGGGAGAGAGAAUGUUGAGUUUCACAGUAACUACAUCAAGUAAUGGCUAAUGCAGGAGUAUGCUUUGGCAAGGAAAAUCCUAGCAGCGGCUGUUUUGUAUAAUGGCUAGAACUGAGAUUAAUUAAAUUAACAUUUGUGAGCUUUUCUCAUAGUAAUUAAGUGUAGGGUGCAUAUUAGCUAUAGUAUCAGUUAAUGAUUUUUAGUGGGGUUGGGUGUGAGGUUUUUAUGUAGCUUUUGACUGUCUGCUGAAGCAAUUAUCUGUUUCAUGCUUUUGACAGAUUUUUUCUGGUUUUAACUUGACUCUUUUGUUUGUAUUGAGUUGUACUUCAUUUCAAUAUUCAUUUGGCUUAUGAAAAAUGGAACUUCAAUCUUA